This 359-nucleotide long non-coding RNA is filed under the name Trifolium pratense (red clover). RNAcentral describes it as "long non-coding RNA (TPRA_LNC009986)". Lineage: Eukaryota; Viridiplantae; Streptophyta; Magnoliopsida; Fabales; Fabaceae. The record is from RNAcentral.
CAACGAUUACGAAAAUCCAUUAAGAAAAUGCUAACGAAAAACGAAAAUCAAAGAUGAAAAAAAAGGUUCAGAUUUGAGAUUGAAGAUUCUAGGGUUUGAAGAGAGAGAGAAAGGGAAAGAGAGAGUGAAAAAUGAGAAGAAAAUAAGAACACUGUUGAAUAUAAUAGAGAAAUAUAUAUAUAUAUAUAGCAGCAGUGUGUAGGUACAACUGGUAUGCAUGAUUGCAGUUUGAUAAAUCGCUUAAACAGUGGUAUGUUUCCUUAUUAUUGUGUAGAGAAAUAAUCUGAUUAGUAUUUUGCUGCAUUGAGAUUUGUUACCGCUACAAGGCUUAAUCCCCCAAUGUUAUGCCAUGAUUGUUU